RNAcentral lists this ribosomal RNA (446 nucleotides) under Lasiacantha sp. 27 STC-2019. RNAcentral's name for it is "partial large subunit ribosomal RNA". Lineage: Eukaryota; Metazoa; Arthropoda; Insecta; Hemiptera; Tingidae. The record is from RNAcentral.
AAAAACAUUUCCUUUUGAUUAUUAAUUUAAGGUAAGGCCUGCUCAAUGAUAAAAUUAAAUAGCCGCGGUAUUUUACUGUGCAAAGGUAGCAUAAUAAUUUGUCCUUUAAUUGGGGUCUAGAAUGAAUGGUUUAACGAGAAACAAACUUUUUUAAUCAAAUUUUUUUGAAUUUAAUUUUUUAGUUAAAAAGCUAAAAUGAAAUUAUGGGACGAUAAGACCCUAUAAAAUUUUAUUUUUAUAUUUAUAUUUAAUUGUUAGUUUUUAUAUUUAUAUAUAAGUAUAAAAAUUUAGUUGGGGCGAUUAUUUAAUUUAACUAACUUAAAUUUUUAUAUUUCACAAAUUAGUGAUUUUUUGAUCUUAAAUUUUGGAUUAAAAGAAUAAAUUACUUUAGGGAUAACAGCGUAAUUUUUCUGGGGAGUUCUUAUUUAUAGAAAAGUUUGCGACCU